GGCCAUUUCAGCGGCACAUAUACUAAAAAUUAGAGCAACACAAAGAAGACUAGCAAGACCCCUGUGCGGGGAUGACAACCUAAUCCAUAAAGCAUUCCAUACUUUU
Molecule: small nuclear RNA, 106 nt
Organism: Arvicanthis niloticus (Nile rat)
Lineage: Eukaryota; Metazoa; Chordata; Mammalia; Rodentia; Muridae
Source: RefSeq, a predicted model, not a curated record